CCAAGGAUGGAAAUUAGAAGCUCCAGGCUGGACACUGGAAGCCCCAGACUGGACAUUGGAAGCCCCAGGCUGGACAUUGGAAGCCCCAGGCUGGACACUGGAAGCCCCAGACUGGACAUUGGAAGCCCCAGGCUGGACACUGGAAGCCCCAGGCUGGACACUGGAAGCCCCAGGCUGGACACUGGAAGCCCAGACUGGACACUGGAAGCCCCAGGCUGGACAUUGGAAGCCCCAGGCUGGACAUUGGAAGCCCCAGGCUGGACAUUGGAAGCCCCAAUCUGGACAUUGGAAGCCCCAGGCUGGACAUUGGAAGCCCAGGCUGGACAUUGGAAGCCCCAGGCUGGACAUUGGAAGCCCCAGACUGGACAUUGGAAGCUCCAGGCUAGACAUUAGAAGCUCCAAUCUGGACACUGGAAGCCCCAGGCUGGACACUGGAAGCUCCAAUCUGGACAUUAGAAGCCCCAAUCUGGACAUUAGAAGCCCCAAUCUGGACAUUAGAAGCCCCAGACUGGACAUUAGAAGCUCCAUUCUGGACAUUGGGAAGCUCCAGGCAGGAC
Ictalurus punctatus (channel catfish) is the source of this 557-nucleotide long non-coding RNA. Lineage: Eukaryota; Metazoa; Chordata; Actinopteri; Siluriformes; Ictaluridae. The record is from Ensembl.